This 423-nucleotide ribosomal RNA is filed under the name uncultured bacterium. Its description in RNAcentral is "bacterial SSU rRNA". It matches the Rfam family "Bacterial small subunit ribosomal RNA", at positions 506 to 927 of the family's 1533-position model. The record is from RNAcentral.
CGCCAGCAGCCGCGGUAAUACAGAGGGUGCGAGCGUUGUCCGGAAUCACUGGGCGUAAAGGGCGCGUAGGCGGUGGCCUAAGCGUGCGGUGAAAGCCCGGGGCUCAACCCCGGGUCGGCCGUGCGAACUGGGUCACUCGAGCACACUAGAGGCGAGUGGAAUUCCGGGUGUAGCGGUGGAAUGCGUAGAGAUCCGGAAGAACACCAGUGGCGAAGGCGGCUCGCUGGGGUGUAGCUGACGCUGAGGCGCGACAGCGUGGGGAGCAAACAGGAUUAGAUACCCUGGUAGUCCACGCCGUAAACGAUGGGCACUAGGUGCUUGCGGGAGCGACCCCGUGAGUGCCGUCGCUAACGCAUUAAGUGCCCCGCCUGGGGAGUACGGCCGCAAGGCUGAAACUCAAAGGAAUUGACGGGGGCCCGCACA